RNAcentral lists this ribosomal RNA (1623 nucleotides) under Triticum aestivum (bread wheat). RNAcentral describes it as "partial small subunit ribosomal RNA". The record is from RNAcentral. Lineage: Eukaryota; Viridiplantae; Streptophyta; Magnoliopsida; Poales; Poaceae.
AUGGAGGACGUUGUGGAUGCGUACAUGGUCCACCUUGAACUCAGCCCCAACAACAUGAAGAACAGAGUCAAUAAGUUUGCCAAGCGGACCAAGAAGUUUUUCAGCAAGGGCAUGGCUCUCCAUCAGAUCUCUGGUGCUGUCCGAGACGCGCAGGAGCUCACCAAGGAGCUUGGCGAGCUCCGUCAAAGGUACGCGCUUGAGGCCUGCGCCAAUGGUGCCAGUAAUAUCGUUGAUCCUCGCAUGAAGGCUAUGUACAAAGAUAUCACAGAGCUCGUGGGCAUCGAGGAGACACGGGAUGAGCUGAUUGAGAAGCUAUUUGAUGGAGAUGGGAUGUCAAGGGAGCAACUCAAGACGUUGUCUAUUGUUGGAUUUGAAGGAUUGAGCAAGACAGCACUUAGCAAAGCAGUGUAUGAUAAGAUCAUAGUGCAGUUCGAUUGUGGAGCGUUUGUUUCAGUCUCUCGAAAUCCUAAUAUGACAAAUAUAUUCAAGAAGAUGUUGUACGGACUUGAUAGGAUUCUGUUUGCGCACAUCAAUGAGGCUGUGUGGGACAAUCAACAACUCAUCGACGAGCUGAGAGCAUUUCUUCAGGAUAAGAGGUACUUAAUCGUGAUUGAUGAUAUAUGGAGUGAAGAUGCAUGGGAAAUUAUCAAGUGUACUUUCUCUAGGAGCAAUCUCGGUAGUGGAGUAAUAACGACAACCCGCACAAGCAGUGUCUCUAAAGCAUGUUGCCCAUCUAGUGGUGAUAUUAUUCAUAAUAUGAAAUCCAUUGAUGAUGGUGAUUCCAGAAGACUCUUCAACAAAAGAAUAUUCUCCCAAGGAAGUGAUUGUCCCAAUGAAUUGGAGCAAGUAUCUAUAGAAAUUUUGAAAAAAUGUGGCGGAGUACCACUAGCCAUCAUAACUAUGGCAAGUCUUUUAGCCAGUAAUGAUCAACAUAUAAAACCAAAGUAUCAAUGGGACAAGAUACUCAGUUCUAUUGGUCGUGGGCUUGCAGAACGUGGUACUGCAAAGGACAUGCAGAGGAUACUAUCCUUUAGUUAUUAUGAUCUACCUUCCCACCUAAAGACUUGUGUGUUAUAUCUCGGUCUAUUCCCAGAAGAUCAUGACAUAAGAAGAGAUCGGUUGAUACGGAGGUGGAUAGCUGAAGGCUUUAUCCAAGCUGCUGAAGAAGAAAUUAGACUAUUUGAGCUCGGAGAGAGAUAUUUCAAUGAGUUGAUCAACAGAAACUUGAUUCAACAAAUAUAUAUUGAUGUUGAAUAUUGGUCGGAAGGUUGCCGUGUACAUGAUAUGGUACAUGAUCUGAUAUGUUCUCUGUCCAGUGGAGAAAACUAUGUUAUUAUAUUGGAUGGUACUAAGAAAAGCAGAAGUAAUUCAGAUAGCAUGGUUCGCAGAUUAUCCUUUCAGAAUAGCAUGUUAGUGCUCACGACCCAUCGGAUUGACGCCACAAGUAUGUCAAAGUUGAGAACUGAUGUUAAUCUGAUUCAGACUCUUUCAAACUUCCAAUUUUUGCGUAUAUUGGAUCUAGAAGAUUGUGAUCUUAGGGAAAGUAGUCACAUAUGCGUUGAGAAUUUAUUACAUCUGAGGUACCUAGUGUUACUGGAUACAUAUGUUGGUGUUCUCCCAUGA